GGAGAGGUGACGGAGUGGUUGAACGUGGCGGUCUCGAAAACCGUUGAGGUCUUCUGGCCUCCGGGGGUUCGAAUCCCUCCCUCUCCG
RNAcentral lists this transfer RNA (87 nucleotides) under Ignavibacteriales bacterium. RNAcentral's name for it is "tRNA-Ser". It matches the Rfam family "tRNA". From Rfam's summary of the family: Transfer RNA (tRNA) molecules are approximately 80 nucleotides in length. Their secondary structure includes four short double-helical elements and three loops (D, anti-codon, and T loops). The record is from RNAcentral. Lineage: Bacteria; Pseudomonadati; Ignavibacteriota; Ignavibacteria; Ignavibacteriales.